UUGGGGAAGGAUUAAUGUUUAACAUAACCCAAGAUGAGUUUGAACCUAGUACUAUAAGCCUUGAAGUUGGUCCGGUAGUUGACUUAUCUUUUCUAUCUUUGGAGCUUCCAUGACCUUUAACUAUUCUUUUGCUUCCAAACCAUAACACUAAAGAAGAAUAAGGGAAAAAAAAUAAUAUGAUGUGAGAAAGCAAGCUAGAUGAAAAGAUAUAAAAUUGAGAUAUAGAAUGUGGAAAAAAUGGAUUAGACAGAGAAAAUUGAAGGGACACUAUAUUGUGAAACAUAACAAUAGAGGCACAAAAAUGCAAAAGAAAUUAUAAGAUCUAAUGAUGUUGAACUAAAAUUUGAAGAAAAAAUUUUCAGUUUUACCAAUAUUAGUUUGAGAGACUGAUAUAGUGAAUAUGCAUAUAUACCAAGAAUAACACCAAGAAAUUCGAAAUAAUAUAUAAUGAGAAAUUAGACAAAAAUAUUAUCUUCAAUUCAAAAAGAACGAAAUGAGAUUUAUCCAACAAAAGUGACGAAAAAAAAUGUUAACUUGUUAGGUAAAAAUGCUACCUUGUUAAGCAUUGGGAAAAAAGGAUAGAUAGAGAAAGUAAAAUGGUUGAAGAGACACUAUAGUAUGAAAAUUAGGCUUAUGAGAUAACAACUGAAACACAAAAAAUGUAAAUAAGCUAUAAGAUAUAAUGUAUGAAAGGGACAUCACUUCAGGAAAUAUAACCAGCCCUUUGCAUUAUUAUAUAGAUAGUAGAUAAAGUUCAAAAUUUUAAGGCAAAAACUAUGAAAGAGACAUCACUUCGGGACAUUAAGGCAAAUGCAUGAAACCAAUAUGUAUUGAAGAUCACAUUUUUCUGACAUUAAAAAUGUGAAUGUAGAUGAGAUCUGAAAAAAAGUAAGUGUCAAUUAACAAAAAGCCAGAAAGGAUAAACAUUAUCCGAAACACAAAUGCAUGUACCUUCACUAUUUUGUUGAAAUCAAAUUUUACAGACAUUAAUAAUGUGAAUAUUGAUCAGAUGUGGAAAAAACGUAGACCAAAUCUGACAUUUUCAACAAAAUAUUGAAGAUAAACUUUCAUGAAACACAUGUUGAAGAUGAUAUUUAUAAGCAAGAAACACAUAUUGAAGAUCAUAAUGUUAAUCUUCAAAUAUUAUAUUAACUUAGACAUCUUCAACAUCUUCAAGAACAUACUGAAGAUCUGAAAAAGUAGAUCAUGUUUCAAAGGUAGAAUUUUGACAUCUUCAAUAAAAUAACCAUUCAUGAAAUGCAUGUUGAAGAUCAUAUUUGUAAACAAGAAACACAUAUUGAAGAUCACAUUUUUAAGAACAAAAAUGUCAAAGUAGAUUGGGUCCGGAAAAACACAUAUUCAAAAAAUAAAUCAGUUAACAUUCAUGAAAGGCAAAACCUUUUGAAACACAACCUUCGUGUUUCAAAGGUAAAACCUUUGUAGUAAAUAAAAAACCCAACAUUACCUUAAGUAGAGAAGAAGAAGAAACGAACAAGUUGUAGAGAGAAGAAGAAGAAGCACCGAAUAGAGUGGAGUAGUUGGAAGAUAACAAUAAUGAGAGAGAAGAAAGGAAAAUGGA
Molecule: long non-coding RNA, 1579 nt
Filed under: Lupinus angustifolius (narrow-leaved blue lupine)
Lineage: Eukaryota; Viridiplantae; Streptophyta; Magnoliopsida; Fabales; Fabaceae
Description: long non-coding RNA (LANG_LNC000758)
Source: RNAcentral